This 349-nucleotide ribosomal RNA is filed under the name Ehrlichia canis. RNAcentral describes it as "bacterial SSU rRNA". It matches the Rfam family "Bacterial small subunit ribosomal RNA", at positions 473 to 825 of the family's 1533-position model. Lineage: Bacteria; Pseudomonadati; Pseudomonadota; Alphaproteobacteria; Rickettsiales; Anaplasmataceae. The record is from RNAcentral.
UGGUACCUACAGAAGAAGUCCCGGCAAACUCUGUGCCAGCAGCCGCGGUAAUACGGAGGGGGCAAGCGUUGUUCGGAAUUAUUGGGCGUAAAGGGCACGUAGGUGGACUAGUAAGUUAAAAGUGAAAUACCAAAGCUUAACUUUGGAGCGGCUUUUAAUACUGCUAGACUAGAGGUCGAAAGAGGAUAGCGGAAUUCCUAGUGUAGAGGUGAAAUUCGUAGAUAUUAGGAGGAACACCAGUGGCGAAGGCGGCUAUCUGGUUCGAUACUGACACUGAGGUGCGAAAGCCGGGUGAGCAAACAGGAUUAGAUGCCCUGGAGUCCCGCUGAUGCGAUGAGUGCUUCUGUGG